Non-coding RNA from Ciona savignyi (Pacific transparent sea squirt), 72 nucleotides. The record is from Rfam. Lineage: Eukaryota; Metazoa; Chordata; Ascidiacea; Phlebobranchia; Cionidae.
UCCUAGAUGGUCUAGUGCUUAGGAUACCUGGCUUUCACCCAGGCGGCCCGGGUUCGAUUCCCGGUGUAUGAA